CGGAAGCAGUGAUGUGAAGCAAAACCCGAAAAAGCAGUCACAGUUCGGAUUGAAGGCUGAAAUUCGCCUUCAUGAAGCCGGAAUUGCUAGUAAUGGCAGGUCAGCAUACUGCCGUGAAUACGUUCCCGGGCCUUGUACACACCGCCCGUCACACCAUGAGAGUUGGGGAUACCCGAAGCCUGUGAGCCAACGAAAGAGGCAGCAGUCGAAGGUAGAAUCAAUGAUUGGGGUGAAGUCGUAACAAGGUAUC
RNAcentral lists this ribosomal RNA (250 nucleotides) under uncultured bacterium. Its description in RNAcentral is "partial 16S ribosomal RNA". It matches the Rfam family "Bacterial small subunit ribosomal RNA", at positions 1250 to 1500 of the family's 1533-position model. The record is from RNAcentral.